Molecule: long non-coding RNA, 3403 nt
Organism: Brassica napus (rape)
Lineage: Eukaryota; Viridiplantae; Streptophyta; Magnoliopsida; Brassicales; Brassicaceae
Exons: 4
Source: RefSeq, a predicted model, not a curated record
CAUAAAAACGUUCACUUGCAAUAUAAACCACGAGAUCUGGAGCCAGUGAGCCACCACUUUGUGAGUUAGGCACCCGUCUUUAUUGACAUUAUUGUCGUUUUAGAUGAAUUUCUCCCAAAACUGAUGCUAUAUGCAACUUUCAGAAGAAGAUAAAACACUUCUUAUAUUCCAACCAGCAUAGCGCUUAGUAAUCAUUUUAUGGAUUUAACUAACUGAUUAAUAAUCAUAACCAUAAGCAAGCGAAUAAUAUAAUAUAGAAAAGUGGGUGCUGUGUGGAUGCAACUAAUGUUCAAUUUUGCUAGAAAACCCUAAAAUGAUGAUAAAGCUUUUCUUUAAGACCAAACAAAGUGAUUGGUUCUAAAAGGAAGAAAACAGCUAAGCUUGUAUUUGUAAGACCACCUCCAUCGGUAGGUUGAGAUGGAGGUUCUAAAGUAAUAAAGAGAAAAAAUUAAAUAAAAAAUGGUGUUAUUAAACAGAACCGGUCCUUAAUUAGGUGAGUUUAGGAUCGGUAAAAACCCUAGACGUGGCAGCAGGGUAUUGGUUGGUUCAUUUUAGACGAAAGGGAAAAAGUCAUGUCUCUCUCUCUUUCGUUCUCCUCUUCGAUGUCAUCGACUCUUAGCGUUCGAUUCUGUCGAAAUCUCCAAGGCUUGAUGAUGUUUGAUCUGUUUGUUCGUCGUCGAUUCUGUCGAAAUCUCUCCUCAUCCUCCACCAACGGUCGUCGUCUCUCCGUCGCUUAUCACAUCGUUCCUCAAUGUCUCUCCUUCACCGAUCUCCGUCUCUUGCAGCCUCUCUCUCGCCUCCCGACUCUCCUCCCCAGAAACUCGAUCGUCGUCACGAACAACUAUGUUUCCGGUUUCGCCGUCGACGGCGUUCUCGUCACCGAACCGGAUCUUUUCCUCUCUUCUCAAAUGUGCCUUUGACAAAAUUGUAGUGAGCUCCUCUUAUAGCAAGCGUGUUCUUCACUACUUCAGCUCUCACAAAUGGGUACGAAAGCAAGUUCCCAAGCGACACAUUCACAGCUUCCUGCAUCUUUUAGAAUCAUUCACUCUCUUUGCUUUAUUUGAGUUUUUGUGGAAGAUUUUGCUUUGUUACCAUGGCAUGGACUAAAAGCUGGGACAAAGAAACAGAAAUAUGAUGUAAUAAGUGAGAAGAAAGUAUCAACUCCUAUAGAGGUGCUGUGUAAAAAUUGCCCGUCUGAAUUUGUUUCAUACUUCCACUACCGUCGAUCUUUGAUAUCAGAGAACUUGUUUCUUUGGAAGAUGUAAUGGAGGAGGUCGGGCUUGGUCCUAAUGGUGCCCUCAUGUACUGCAUGGAAUACCUUGAUGAUAGCUUACAUGAUUGGGUGGAUGAAGAAUUGGAUAACUAGCGAGAUGAUGAUUACCUUAUAUUCGAUUGUCCAGGUGCAUACAUGACCAUUACGUUUAUAUGUCUGAUCUUUUUAUACGAGUGGUUUCUGUCACCAGUUUGGUUCCCAAUUAUGUUUUUUUAUCUCUAAAUUUUUGUAAUCAUCUUGCUUUUUUUUUCUAUAUUUCAACGACACUUUCAACCAACAUUUGUUGGUCUUGUUGUUGUUUUGUUCUCUCUCUUUUUGUUUUCAUUGUUUCUCUUUUCUCUUCUUUCUAUGUAUGUUUUUUUUUUAAAUUGUUCUACUUAAAAAAAAAAAUUAUUUAAGAACCUCUACGAGGUUCUAUCUGAGAAAAAAAAAAAUCAUUAGCACUAUCAAAGGUUUUUAAGUUCUCAAAUCACCUUAUUAAGUCAUAAUUUAAUCAUAAGAGCCCAUUAAUGGAUGGAAGACCUAAUAUGUACUGUGGUGGCCCCUUAACCCCAUGUUUUCUUCUUCUUCUUCAUCCAUUAUGUUCUAAUAACACGUACGUAUGAUUACGAAAACUAUUUAUACGUGUCGUAAAGAAUAUGACUUAGUAUCGACUUCGAGAUAAUACUAUGCAUAGAUAAGAACUGUCUGUAUUGGAUACGUGGUACUGUGACCCACUUUGUUGACUUACGAUCAAAAAUUUUAAAUUUGUAUGUAAUCUAAAUAACAAUCAAUAUGUGUAGAUCGCGUGAUGAAAAUGCAUGAACAAAAAUAGUGUGUAUAAAUGUACAUUUCGACCUAAAAACGUGGGACUGAUAAGAUGGGCUACCAAACCUAUUUUGUACAUUAUGAGGACAACGCAAUCCUUCACGAUCUUUUGCUACUUGCAAUUACGUCUUGAUUUUUUCAAUUACACGUGCAUACAUUCAUUCGUAUUUCAGUUGACAUCAAAUGCUCCAAUUCAUAUGUUCCAUCAAUCUCGGAUAAUCAUGCAGGAGAUUUUUGAAAUUUUCCCCAUUCGAAAUUAGAUAUAAGAAUGCAAAACCUUUGGAUUCGACGUAACUCUUGAGAUGUUAUUGAAAAAAACUAGUCGCAUAACCAAGCGCUUGUGGUUCCCGAUUUCUAAUAGACGCAUUUGUUAGGAAUUCAACAUAUGACCUAAAAUGAAACUUAAGAGUAAUACUUAAUACAGUAACAUAAAUAUGAUAAUAAUUAAGAAUCAAUAAUUGCUUAUUUAUUUUUUUAGUUAGAAGUACUUUGUCACAUAUUAAUGUUUGAAUUUGAGCGAAAUCGAAUAAUCCAGAUAAGAUAUAUUAUUGUGUCUAACGUUUGGUUCAGUUUAAGAUGAACUGAAAAUGUCAUCAUAUUGAGAGGCGCAGUAAAAUCAACCCAGAGGAAAAUAAAUCUGAACUAUAUACAUCUAGUAAGUAACUAGAAUAAUCAAAAUGAUUAAAUUUCUUUCUACAAGGCAUUACAAAGUAAGAUUGCAAUUCGUUAAUUACAAAAGCCAAAGUGGUUAGUGGAGUAAUGAUGGUUAUGAUUUAUGAUAAGGAUACAGAUUUAAUUAAUGAAAUAAAGCAAAGAGAGUUUGUGUCUCAACAACCCAACCCUCAUUCCCAGCUUCCAUUAGUAUUAGUGAUGUGUAAUCUUUGACUACUCAGCGGUCAAUCUUAUGUUUUAAUUGGGAUAAGGAAUCUUAGGUUUCAUUAUUCAUGUAAUAUCAAAUAAUGAAGCGUGAGUUUAGAAAAUUAAAUAAAUUGCUUAAUGGAUAUAGUGUAUAAAUUUUAAAAAGAAUAUAUCAAAUGAUCCAUAACUUCAGACUUGAAACUUUCUUUUAAACAUAUGAAGUUGAAAAAUAACAUAUUGUCGCCUGUACUGCUGUACUAUAGGAUGUACUUAAUUAACCUUGGUAGAUACUCAACAAUUUAUCGUCUAGUCUAAUUAGGCACUCUGCUAUUAAAUAAUUAAUGUCCCAAUCAAAAUAACAUACUCCCUCUGUUCCUAAAUAUAAGAUGUUUAGGUAAAAACAUGCAUAUUAAAAAAAUCAUUGUUUUAUCUAGAAAAUAUCAUUAAAACUAUAAAUUAAUGUUA